This 83-nucleotide transfer RNA is filed under the name bacterium. RNAcentral describes it as "tRNA-Tyr". It matches the Rfam family "tRNA". From Rfam's summary of the family: Transfer RNA (tRNA) molecules are approximately 80 nucleotides in length. RNAcentral also lists the same sequence under 1 other name. The record is from RNAcentral.
GGUGGGGUACCCAAGUGGCCAACGGGAGCAGACUGUAAAUCUGCCGGCGCAAGCCUUCGAAGGUUCGAAUCCUUCCCCCACCA